GUGCGCAAGCCAGACACCCGUGGGUGAGAAGGCCUUGGGAGAAUGACGUGUACCAUCGUAGAUUUCUGAUGUAACAGCUGAGGAGAAUUAAAACACAUAUACAAAGAACAAGACAACAACCUCUGCAACCCUCUUGAAGUUUACUCAGCCAUGCUGUUCACCAAUGGGUUCCUCCACACCAUGGGAAUCAUCAGCUCAUUUGCUACCCUCCAAC
Molecule: long non-coding RNA, 214 nt
Filed under: Fukomys damarensis (Damara mole-rat)
Lineage: Eukaryota; Metazoa; Chordata; Mammalia; Rodentia; Bathyergidae
Description: lncRNA (ENSFDAG00000028327.1)
Source: RNAcentral